GCAAGUCGAGGGGUAACAGGGAUUAGUUUACUAGUUUGCUGACGACCGGCGCACGGGUGAGUAACGCGUAUACAAUUUACCUUUUACAGGGGAAUAGCCCAGAGAAAUUUGGAUUAAUGCCCCAUGGUAUUAUCGAAUCGCAUGGUUUGAUAAUUAAAGUUUCGGCGGUAAAAGAUGAGUAUGCGUCCUAUUAGCUAGAUGGUGAGGUAACGGCUCACCAUGGCUACGAUAGAUAGGGGGCCUGAGAGGGUUGUC
This 255-nucleotide ribosomal RNA is filed under the name uncultured bacterium. RNAcentral's name for it is "partial 16S ribosomal RNA". It matches the Rfam family "Bacterial small subunit ribosomal RNA", at positions 57 to 305 of the family's 1533-position model. The record is from RNAcentral.